Molecule: ribosomal RNA, 1347 nt
Filed under: Triticum aestivum (bread wheat)
Lineage: Eukaryota; Viridiplantae; Streptophyta; Magnoliopsida; Poales; Poaceae
Description: partial small subunit ribosomal RNA
Source: RNAcentral
AUGCGUGCGCCGGCGGGGAGGAGGCGCGACGAGGCCACUCACUUUGUCAUGAGCGAUUUUGCGCUAAGCAACGACCACGCCAUGCUGCUCCAUGGCCAUGGCCGCGACAAAUCGAACGUCACCUACCCGGCCCAUCCGUCCGUGUUCCCGGCAAAUCCAAGACCCAUGCAGGGAGGUGGCUUCAACGAAUCACCACGCCAAACGAGGAGUUUCUGUGCACACACAGCUCGGAAGAACGACGCUGCUGUCCUCCCGAUAAGUACUGAAGCAAAACUCUUCUCCGCUGACGGAUACGCUGGAAUCCGCAACGUUUCGGACGUUUUCUGCCCACCAGAAUGGGGCCAUACUGGGCGAGCACUGGAUGAUCAGCACAAGAACAAGGAGAGUGAUCUGCUUCUCUUCGACUGGCCUGAACUGGAUGACUUGGAGGAUCUCCAGACAAACCUGAGAAAACUCGAUUCGGCGUUUGAGCUAGGGAGCGACUAUUUCGAUGUCCCGAUGUGGCCUUCGAUUUGCUCGCCGGACGUUCAGCUUGUGCUGAGCAGCUACUUUGACAACCCCCAUCCGUCGACUAAUCCUGACACCAACGGUCAGCAGCCAUCCAGGAAGAAAGGAAAGGAGACGCCACUGAACUCGUCUUCCUCCUCCGUGGAGAUGGAGCAUUUCCCGCGGCUGUCAGACGCCGACCUCCUCUGCCCCUUCGACUUCCAUGACAUGCUCGUCCCAACAUCCUCCAGCGUCAUGUGCAACGACGAGAUCAUGUCUUCCUCCGCUGCUCGCUCCAGCCCAGACGAUCUCGUCUCGGCCUACGCUUCGACGAAGAAUAAUCAGCCGCGUGCGACUCCGGACAUGAUCCUGGACGAGAUGGCCGGGAACCCGCUGGAGAUGUACUUCCCUCCGCUGGCGACGUGCGAGCAGCCUCAAGUGCCGAUGAGUGGCACCGCCUCGACGCUCGCCGGCGACGGUGCUCUGAACGGUGCAGCCUUGCAGUCCGGCUCUAGGGGGAGGAGGGGUUCGGGAGGGGUGCGUGAGAAGGCUCGCCCGUCGUCGGUUCCGGAGGCCGCGCCGGCGCCGGUGAGGCAUCUCGGGUUCCAGAAGCUUCAGGAAGGCUUGAAUCAGUUGGAUGUGGGAACCAAGGCGUGCAUCAGAGACGCCCUGUACCGGCUGGCCUACAGCGUGGAGCACAGACAACAGGUGGUAGAACCGAAUGUGGGUUCCUCGGCUGCAAACAGGCUCAGCACAUCGAGCGUGUGGGCGGAGACCGAGAGGAGCCCCAUGGAUCGCUCCGUGGCGCAGCUUCUUCUGAAGAAGCCGCUGGAUCAGAGGACGGCGAAUCGUGCCGCGUGA